UACGAAGGGCGCAAGCGUUGCUCGGAAUCACUGGGCGUAAAGCGCGCGUAGGCGGCUUGGUAAGUCAGGGGUGAAAUCCCGGAGCUCAACUCCGGAACUGCAUUUGAUACUGGCGAUCUUGAGUCCGGGAGAGGGUAGUGGAAUUGCGAGUGUAGAGGUGAAAUUCGUAGAUAUUGGCAAGAACACCAGUGGCGAAGGCGGCUCCCUGGCCCGUGACUGACGCUGAGACGCGACAGCGUGGGGAGCAAACAGG
Molecule: ribosomal RNA, 253 nt
Filed under: uncultured bacterium
Lineage: Bacteria
Description: partial 16S ribosomal RNA
Rfam family: Bacterial small subunit ribosomal RNA
Source: RNAcentral